GCGGCUGUUGCUCUUCUCAGUUGUGUAGGUGGGCAGGAGAGUGAAAGUAUAUGCGUGAUGUUACUCAGGUGCUGCUCAAACACUAAUACUCUUCUAUAGCUUCUCUUUCUGCAUAAAAUGCGUCUGCUGCUCGGCUGAAUACACAAGCUUUCUGCCACACCUGUUGAAUGUGUUCCUUUCAACUGGAGAAAGUUCUGAAUAUGUGUUUAUAAUCAGAGGGACUACCUGAUGCAGUUAAACUACAGAUAUGUCACUCCAUGACAUCCUGCUUGCUAUCGGUAUCAUUUCCACUUCAGAGGGAAGGAAACAUUUCAAAACUGGAUCAGAUCAUUUAGCAGCGCUAAAACCUGGAUUUAAUUUACCAGCUGGUUGGACGGGGGUGAAUGGGGUCCCCCUGUCAACCCCCCAGUCCCAAGCUAGAGCCCUGCAUGGAACCAAUUUCUAAGACUCGACCCAAACCCAUAGCCUGCAACCCGAACCGCGACCCGCAUAUUUACCCACUUUGAACCGCUACCCGACCAGGAGCCACAACUGCCUUAUCCGCAACCUGCCGACCACCAUCAACCGGACGUGAUGUUGCUGCAAACUGGAAGUGACAUCAUCAAACGUGGCCGAUAGCCGAGAGGGACAGAAGCCACCGUGUGAUCUAAGAAAGCUGUGCCUGAAGUCAGAUUGGAGGGGGAGACGAGUGGGGAGAGAGCUGCAGCAGGAAGAGACCCCACAUCUAUACCCCGCACCUGAAAGGCCUACCCUCCUUCUGCAGGGUACCCACUUUUUUUGCAGGCAACCCGUAGGUACCCAACCCGCUGCAGGACUCUAUCCCAAGCUUCAGACACACCUGAACAUUUUACCUUGCCCUGUGUGUUGGGAGGAUCUGGAAUGAGGGUCCUGGGUCCACAAGCCCACUGGGUUUUCUCCCAGUGUCCCACGGGCCCAGUGCAACCCUGCUCUGAUUCCUUUUUGUACAUCAAGCCUAUGGGUACAUUAAACACUAUCUAGUGUGCAAUAAUGUAGGCUUUUUAAAGUAAAAUACAGGUCACUACUCUUUAGCAUGAAGGACAAGUAAACCUUAAAAAUAAGUGAAUGUAAAACAGAUGAGGGGGCUAUUCUAAGCACUUUUGUCAUUU
This is a long non-coding RNA of Xenopus laevis (African clawed frog), 1127 nucleotides long. RefSeq lists it as uncharacterized. The record is from RefSeq and is a predicted model, not a curated record. NCBI's taxonomy places the organism in Eukaryota, Metazoa, Chordata, Amphibia, Anura, Pipidae. The transcript is spliced from 4 exons.